AUUACGAUUCUUAAAAAUUCAAUUAACACAAAUAAUUAGAUAACGAGAAGAAAAAUCUUUCACUAGUAAUCCCGUAUCCGGAGUGAAUUGAUUGAGGUGGUUACUGUGUUCUCGAGAUCCUAAUUAACUUGUGCUUUGUCGAGAAUAGUAGACGAAGGGGUUAAGGUAAGUACGCACCUCAUAGCCAUAAAUAUAACAUAGUCAUA
Molecule: long non-coding RNA, 206 nt
Filed under: Carica papaya (papaya)
Lineage: Eukaryota; Viridiplantae; Streptophyta; Magnoliopsida; Brassicales; Caricaceae
Description: long non-coding RNA (CPAP_LNC007771)
Source: RNAcentral